GGGGUUCUUGCCCCCACUUAGCACCUCACACUCCUCUUCCAGCCAGGGGCACAGGAACAAAAUCAGGCUAAAGGCGACCAGGCCGAGUCGUUGAGGAAUGCUGGGGUUUGGCGUCAGAAGGGAUGGGACCAGAGAGAAGGGUGUGAAGGAGACCCCAGUAGGGGCAGGACACUGCAGGUAAAGAAGGGGAAGAAGAGGCCGAGAAGUCAAGGGCCAGGCCCUGAAGGAGAAUAAAGGAGGUCAAAGAGAGGUCGUAUCUUCGUACCUCACUUCCUGACACAAACAACUUUUUACUGUUGUCAGCAACAAAUCCCUAAUAUAGCUGCGGAAUAGAAAAACUGCAUUGCAUUUUGCCUCCUGCAAGCAUCAUCAACAGUUACCGGAGGAAUGUGAUUCCAGAAAGCUUUAAAGCUGGUGGUGAUGGUAAUUAUGUAUCAAAUGCCUGAUGCUAUUUCUGUGGUUAUUGUUUUGUCAUUUCUGCUCUACGCAAGAGCUGGCGGAACUCGCAGAGGAACGCAUCCAGUUUUUCUUUUUAACUUUGUAAAAAUUAAUCAGACUUGAUAGAAAACUCAUUGCUCUUGGGGAAAAUAAAGUAGGAGCCACGAAAUGUCACGUUAGCAGAGCGUGGGCUCAGUGACUUAAGGACUCGAGGACGCGCCUUCUGCUCUGGGCGCUCUGUAUGGAGCGCAGGCCCCACGCACGCACCGACGCCGCGGCUCCCGGAUGCUGCGGCUCCCGGCUCGGCGCCGCGAGGGGCUCUCGGUGGGUGGUACGGGGCGCAGCCGCCGCCAGUCCCGCCGCUGCUGCCGUUGCGGCUGCAGUCACGUGGGAGCCCCUUUAAGUUUCCAUAGAGAGGCCUCUCCGGUGUCACAUGAUGGACAUGAUAUAAUGAAACAACAUUGUGGAGAGGAAAGCAUUAGGGAGCCCACGGCUACGGAAACAAGUGAGUGAGAAGAGGUGGGAGGAAGAGAAACUACGCCACCUCCCCUGCUGCGGAGCCGCACGCAGCAGCCGGGCGGAGAAGGGGGCGACACCGGGGGGCAGGGAGCCGGGGUCCUCAGGCCCGGCCGGGGAUCUGCCGCCACCCGAAGGGAGCAACUUUUAGCCGGCUGCCUCGGCCAGCACUGCACCUGUCUCCGGGGCCGCCGUCGCUCCUCGUGAUGAUCAAAGGGAAAUUCUAGAAGAAUAUGCUCCACAAAUAUACAUGUGCAUCAUUUCCCCCCUUGCGUCUCGCUCUGGAAGAAGGAAAGAGAAAGGGAUUUAAGCAGCUGCGCGUCUUCAGCCCUAAGCACCACCACACCUCCCUGGAAUAGCACUUCUUAGUUCUUGGAUUGAGCGAUACGGUAGGAUUUCACCUCGCUUGUUUUCAGGGACUCUCUUAACUGGUUAAAAGAAUUGGAUAUUUCACCAUGUGGAGUUUCUCUGCCUCACUGAUGAUCUAAGGUCAAACCUGCCAGUUUAUGGGGGAUAAUAGACCCUGUAACAUCUGAGUAAGUAGAUGCUGCUGUGUUUGUUUUACUAUUUGAAAGAAAUUAGUUUCCUAACUUUAAAGUUUUAAAAUAUUCAUGUUUUAAUUGUGUUUUUCAAAUUUUGUUGAAUAAUGAUAGCAGUAUUUUAAUUUCAAUAAGCAAAUAUUUAUAAAAGAUUUCUGAAAGAUAUCCCUGUUGAUAAAAAAAAAGUCAAUGGAAACAUUUUCUAUAAAUAAUACUUUACUUUUUAAGAGACAUAGUGAGGACCUAAAUUGCAUGUAUUAAAAAUGUUAAAGCAUUCUCCUUGGUGCUUUAUUUUACUUUAUAUUAUGAAACGCAAUAUUACUGGUAGAGCAGCCAUUAUGAAAUUUUAAAUGCAUCUAUAUCUACACAAAAAUGGUCUUUUAAAAUGAAGUGUAUUUUGGUUAACUUGAAAUAAAUGCUGGUUUGUUUUGUGGAAAUAGAAUUUAAUAGUUCUAUUUGAAAAUAAUGAUUUUUUUCCCUGCUAAUAUAGAUAAGAACAUAGACUUUCUGGAUUUAUUUAGGUUUCUUAAUUUGAGUAGACUAAGAAAGAAGGGCAUUCAUUCUUUCUAAUCAAACAUCUGAAUGAAAUUUAAAGAGUUGAGCCAUUUAUCUUGAUACAAAUUGUUUCUCAGAAUGAAAGCUAUUAUUCUUUGAAUUGUAUAUGUAAUGAAACUGUUUUGAAAAAAUGAGGAAACCAUGAGGUUGUACCAGAGCCUUGUUUUGGAAUGCUAAGUUAAAAACAGUAAAUAUACAAGAUGUUCCCCAUUACAAUGGGAUUAUUUAGUUUUGGUCUCUAUAUCUGUGCAGUCCAAUGUGGUAACCACUGGCCACAUGUAGCUAUGACAUUUGAAAUUGUCAUUUUCAAAAAUUCAAAGCUAGUCCUGAGAUGUGCUAUACGUAAAAUACACAUUUCAAUUUAGUAUGAAAAAAUGGUAAAAUAUAUUUGUGUGUGUUGUGUGAAUCAGAUGUUGAAAUGGUAAUGUUUUGGACAUAAUAGGUUAAAUAAAACCUUAAA
Manis javanica (Malayan pangolin) is the source of this 2508-nucleotide non-coding RNA. NCBI's taxonomy places the organism in Eukaryota, Metazoa, Chordata, Mammalia, Pholidota, Manidae. The record is from RefSeq and is a predicted model, not a curated record.